UGGGGAAUUUUGCACAAUGGGGGAAACCCUGAUGCAGCGACGCCGCGUGAUUUAGAAGGCCUUCGGGUUGUAAAAAUCUUUUUUAUGGGAUGAAAAUGACAGUACCAUAAGAAUAAGGUCCGGCUAAAUACGUGCCAGCAGCCGCGGUAAUACGUAUGUUGCGAGCGUUAUCCGGAAUUAUUGGGCUUAAAGGGCAUCUAGGCGGUAAGACAAGUUGAAGGUGAAAACCUGUGGCUCAACCAUAGGCUUGCCUACAAAACUGUUGAACUAGAGUACUGGAAAGGUGGGUGGAACUACACGAGUAGAGGUGAAAUUCGUAGAUAUGUGUAGGAAUGCCGAUGAUGAAGAUAACUCACUGGACAGAAACUGACGCUGAAGUGCGAAAGCUAGGGGAGCAAACAGG
This 403-nucleotide ribosomal RNA is filed under the name Verrucomicrobiota bacterium. RNAcentral describes it as "Verrucomicrobia bacterium partial 16S ribosomal RNA". It matches the Rfam family "Bacterial small subunit ribosomal RNA", at positions 355 to 776 of the family's 1533-position model. Lineage: Bacteria; Pseudomonadati; Verrucomicrobiota. The record is from RNAcentral.